RNAcentral lists this microRNA precursor (192 nucleotides) under Oryza rufipogon (brownbeard rice). RNAcentral describes it as "MIR812 microRNA precursor family". It matches the Rfam family "MIR812 microRNA precursor family". The record is from Rfam by way of RNAcentral. Lineage: Eukaryota; Viridiplantae; Streptophyta; Magnoliopsida; Poales; Poaceae.
AAAAAGACAAACCCUGGUUUCCGUGUCCAACGUUUAACCGUCCGUCUUAUUUAAAAAAAUUAAAAAGAUAAGUCACGCAUAAAGUAUUAAUCAUGUUUUAUCAUCUAACAACAAUGAAAGUACUAACUAUAAAAAAUUUCACAUAAGACGGACAGUCAAACGUUGGCACGGGAACCCACGGUUUGUUUUUUU